GUAGGUGAACCUGCGGAAGGAUCAUUACUGAGAUAGGGUCCUUCGGGGCCCGACCUCCAACCCUUUGUUUACCUUACCACUGUUGCUUCGGCGGGUCGUUGAUUUCUCCCUUUACGGGGAGGCUUCGCCGUCGGCCCUCGCGCUUUCGAGUGCCCGCCAUGAGGCCAACCAUUAAACUCUUUGUAAACCCAGUCUUCUGAGAGUAAAUUAAAUACUUCAAAACUUUCAACAACGGAUUUCUUGGUUCCG
Molecule: unclassified non-coding RNA, 249 nt
Filed under: rhizosphere metagenome
Description: partial ribosomal RNA internal transcribed spacer region
Source: RNAcentral